CAGGCUUAACACAUGCAAGUCGAGGGGCAGCAUUUUAGUUUGCUUGCAAACUGAAGAUGGCGACCGGCGCACGGGUGAGUAACACGUAUCCAACCUGCCGAUAACUCCGGAAUAGCCUUUCGAAAGAAAGAUUAAUACCGGAUAGCAUACGAAUAUCGCAUGAUAUUUUUAUUAAAGAAUUUCGGUUAUCGAUGGGGAUGCGUUCCAUUAGUUUGUUGGCGGGGUAACGGCCCACCAAGACUACGAUGGAUAGGGGUUCUGAGAGGAAGGUCCCCCACAUUGGAACUGAGACACGGUCCAAACUCCUACGGGAGGCAGCAGUGAGGAAUAUUGGUCAAUGGGCGAGAGCCUGAACCAGCCAAGUAGCGUGAAGGAUGAAGGCUCUAUGGGUCGUAAACUUCUUUUAUAUGGGAAUAAAAUUUUCCACGUGUGGAAUUUUGUAUGUACCAUAUGAAUAAGGAUCGGCUAACUCCGUGCCAGCAGCCGCGGUAAUACGGAGGAUCCGAGCGUUAUCCGGAUUUAUUGGGUUUAAAGGGAGCGUAGGUGGAUUGUUAAGUCAGUUGUGAAAGUUUGCGGCUCAACCGUAAAAUUGCAGUUGAAACUGGCAGUCUUGAGUACAGUAGAGGUGGGCGGAAUUCGUGGUGUAGCGGUGAAAUGCUUAGAUAUCACGAAGAACUCCGAUUGCGAAGGCAGCUCACUAGACUGUCACUGACACUGAUGCUCGAAAGUGUGGGUAUCAAACAGGAUUAGAUACCCUGGUAGUCCACACAGUAAACGAUGAAUACUCGCUGUUUGCGAUAUACAGUAAGCGGCCAGGCGAAAGCAUUAAGUAUUCCACCUGGGGAGUACGCCGGCAACGGUGAAACUCAAAGGAAUUGACGGGGGCCCGCACAAGCGGAGGAACAUGUGGUUUAAUUCGAUGAUACGCGAGGAACCUUACCCGGGCUUAAAUUGCAACAGAAUAUAUUGGAAACAGUAUAGCCGUAAGGCUGUUGUGAAGGUGCUGCAUGGUUGUCGUCAGCUCGUGCCGUGAGGUGUCGGCUUAAGUGCCAUAACGAGCGCAACCCUUAUCUUUAGUUACUAACAGGUCAUGCUGAGGACUCUAGAGAGACUGCCGUCGUAAGAUGUGAGGAAGGUGGGGAUGACGUCAAAUCAGCACGGCCCUUACGUCCGGGGCUACACACGUGUUACAAUGGGGGGUACAGAAGGCGGCUACCUGGUGACAGGAUGCUAAUCCCAAAAACCUCUCUCAGUUCGGAUCGAAGUCUGCAACCCGACUUCGUGAAGCUGGAUUCGCUAGUAAUCGCGCAUCAGCCAUGGCGCGGUGAAUACGUUCCCGGGCCUUGUACACACCGCCCGUCAAGCCAUGAAAGCCGGGGGUACCUGAAGUACGUAACCGCAAGGAGCGUCCUAGGGUAAAACUGGUAAUUGGG
RNAcentral lists this ribosomal RNA (1433 nucleotides) under uncultured organism. Its description in RNAcentral is "16S ribosomal RNA". It matches the Rfam family "Bacterial small subunit ribosomal RNA". The record is from RNAcentral.